GCACGGAGUUAGCCGAUGCUUAUUCUUCAGUAACGUCAGAUCUUCUUCCUUGAAAAAAGAGGUUUACAACUCAGUAAGCCUUCAUCCCUCACGCGGUAUUGCUCUGUCAGGCUUUCGCCCAUUGCAGAAAAUUCCUCA
This 138-nucleotide ribosomal RNA is filed under the name uncultured bacterium. RNAcentral describes it as "partial 16S ribosomal RNA". The record is from RNAcentral.